This 253-nucleotide ribosomal RNA is filed under the name uncultured bacterium. Its description in RNAcentral is "partial 16S ribosomal RNA". It matches the Rfam family "Bacterial small subunit ribosomal RNA", at positions 524 to 776 of the family's 1533-position model. The record is from RNAcentral.
UACAGAGGGGGCAAGCGUUAUUCGGAAUUAUUGGGCGUAAAGGGCGCGUAGGCGGCUUUGCAAGUGACGGGUGAAAUCCCUCGGCUUAACCGAGGAACUGCCUGUCAAACUGCAUGGCUUGAGACCGGGAGAGGUGAGUGGAAUUCCCAGUGUAGCGGUGAAAUGCGUAGAUAUUGGGAGGAACACCAGUGGCGAAAGCGGCUCUCUGGAACGGUACUGACGCUGAGACGCGAAAGCGUGGGGAGCGAACAGG